Molecule: long non-coding RNA, 1556 nt
Filed under: Nicotiana benthamiana
Lineage: Eukaryota; Viridiplantae; Streptophyta; Magnoliopsida; Solanales; Solanaceae
Description: long non-coding RNA (NBEN_LNC007753)
Source: RNAcentral
CUUUUGCUCUGACUUCUUCUCAUCUAAGCAUUUGCUUCGGCCUACAAAAGCUCGGACGAGCGGGGAAUAUCAUAAACUCAAAGAAGACCAGGGUCAGCCGACCUAGAAGAAAACACAAAUAGAGAGAGGUCAACUGAUUAAUAGGUAUACUUGUCAAGCGACACAGACACAGGUACAUAAGGAAUCACAUCAUCACCUCCUUCUUGCUCUUUGGCUUUAUUAGCGUCAGCUGAGGCCUCUCUUUGAUCAUUCCUGUGUUUCGGUGCUUGCCCUUUCUUUUAAGAAUAAAGAUCUUCAUCGAUCUCCACUACGGCUGUCACUCCUACAGGAUCGGGAUACUUUUUUUACGUAUUACGAGAAGGUCGUUGAAGUAGGAUCGCUAGUGGGAUAGUCCAGCGGUACUCCUUGCCUCUGUUGACACAAUUAACCAACGGGGACCGACAGACAGCUUGCUUAGUAAAGUCUUUUAUCUUCCAUUCAGGGGUCAUGAAUGAUUAACAGAAACGAAGGGUGAGUGCAACGAACUAGAAUUUUGGACCAGUCUUGUAGCGAAUAAAGGAAAAAGGUCCCGGUAGGGGUCAGCAGCGUCGGGAGGCGGAGGUGAACAACAAGGACUCUCUCUCGUAGCCGAUAUCCCGCCCUUCUUCCGUAAGGAUGGAUUCGGGCUUAAGCCAACUCGACCAAGGGGGGAAGGAUUUUGAGGAGGAUAACUCCUUUUCAAUAAUAGGAGCGUAACCUACUACUAAUGUAUGUAGACCAAGGACUUUCCAUUUCAACGGGAUUCUCGUCUCAAGGGCAUUUCCGCCAAUCACUUCAACAGUGCCAAAAUGCCCUAUUCCUUGAGUCACUGGAACCGCUGACCCAACUUACAAGAACCUCCGUACUUCUUAUGAGCCGGGAUCGAUCAUAUUCGCAUUUCCACUAUGUUUCAGCCCCGAGCAGCCAUCGAAAGCAAAGAGAUCAGGUCGUUAUAUUCUACCAAAUAGAUGCCGAUGCUCCCGAACUGCUAUAGGAGUCUAAUUAUCAUUCCCUUCCCGCAUCACUAGAUCACUAGAAAGAUAAAGCGAUCGAGGAGCGAAGUUAUGAGCUGACAUGAGUGGAAUCGAAGCAACUAGUCCUGUCCAAAGAGUCCCAACCCAGGGAAAGUCCUUUGUCAGGGGCGAAAGCCGGCUCAACAAAGGACUUUUUUCAAGGGAUCGUCGACAAGAACUACUCAUGAAGACCCAAAACCUCAGUAUGUGGAAAAUUCUUCCAAUCCGGGUCGGAAAGAAGGGUGGUGCCUUAGCUCAUGGGUGUAAAAACUUUUGGUCAUGUGCUAUCUGCUUGUCCAAAAGGCCAAGCCAAUGUAACCGGAAAGGAAGAGUUUGAUCCUGGCUCAGUAGUAGGACCAGUUCCCCCCUCAACUACUUAUUGAUCAGUUGGUAAACCCCCUUCCUUUCGGUCUAGUAGCUGGUUACCUCCUUUCCUUCGAAGUCUUUGUCGAGCUUAUCCCCCUUUCCAGCUAGAGCUGUUUGUAUAUAGUUCAACUGCAACCCUUGUUAGCCGAGCUGUUUNNN